RNAcentral lists this long non-coding RNA (6523 nucleotides) under Sus scrofa (pig). Its description in RNAcentral is "lncRNA (ENSSSCG00060031520.1)". Lineage: Eukaryota; Metazoa; Chordata; Mammalia; Artiodactyla; Suidae. The record is from RNAcentral.
GCUGGAUCCUUAACCCACUGAACAAGGCCAGGGAUCGAACCCAUGUCCUCAUGGAUGCUUCUUGGGUUUGCUAACCGCUGAGCCACAACAGAAACUCCCUGGAUCUGAGAUUCUUUUGAACUCUGGCUAAUAUUGACCAGAACAUGCCCUCUGUGUCAUUUUAUGUAAAGUCUCUUUGGAAAAAGCUUACAAUUCUAGGAAUGUAUUUCCAUUUUUGGUUUCACCCUUACUCCCACUUUCUAUAAAUUGACCUUGAUUUUCCUUUUUUCAGAGGGUCACCUAUACAGAAGGUAAAAGCAUACCUAAUACAAACAUAAUUCAAUACAUAAAUGAAUUUGCCCAGAAUUAAUGAUAAUCUCAAUGAGUGUGUUGUUUUGAUAUGUAGGCAGAGGGGUUUUGGGGUUUUUUUUGUUUGUUUGUUUGUUCGUUUUUUAACCUGUCUCCAAGAAGAGUGGGAUUCAGGAGGGGAAGAAGGAAUGUGAAAGACAGGGCAGGUCAUAAUUCAAACAAUGACAAGAGAGCUCUUGUAUAGUAUAACUCUGAGAAUUUUCAUAGGGGUUUUAGGGAUUAGCAACUGUAGUUGUUUAAACAAGUGAAACAUUCAUAGCUUCAAGUUUAUGAGGUGUUUAAAAAUCGCUAUGACUAACAAUGUAUUUUUCCCUUGUCAGAAGAGUCAACUGAGACUAGCUUCCAGGCCCCAUGGCAUAGCCAUAAGCAGCUCAGACUUUUAUAAUGCAUGUCCUUUCAUCCCUCUCUGAGAAGGCCAUACCUCACACUCUCUCUGACAGAUGGCAAUGCAUGUUCUUCUAUAUUCUUAGGUAAGAUACACUACACCCUAAAUAUCUCUGAAGGCUAGAGGUUUCUAUUUUCACAUAUUAGAUGUUUCGUCCCUUCCCAGUGUACUUACCUGGUGAGCGCAGUAAGCAGGAGUUGUUUUGGUCUGUGGGGCUCUUGUUCAAAUCCAGUCAUCCACCUUCUGCAAUGCCUUGCCUAAAGAGCUAUACCAAAAUAGAUUUGGACAUCUUUUCUCCUUUUUAAUUGCAAGCACAGAAAACUAACUUGAGCUUACUAAGGUCAAAGAAGAAAUCUAAAAUGGCAUAUUUUCCCUUCAAUAUAGAAAGGAGGGAUACUUAGUCCUUUCUCUCUUUUACUUGCCAUGGUCCCUGUGCAAGAAGUUGUAGGCUCUGUUUUAGUUAUCCAACAUGUGUGUGGCUUAUUUCGUGUAAAGCUAUGUGGAAGAUACAUUUAGUUAAACUCAUUGACUUGCACCCUCAUAUGGUGGUUCCCAGGCUAGGGGCCAAGUCAGAGUUAUAGCCACUGGCCUGGGCCACAGCGACAGCAACUCAGGAUCCGAGCUGCGACCUACUCCACAGCUCACAGCAACGUCAGAUCCUUAACCCACUGAUUGAGGCCAGGGAUCGAACCCACAACCUUAUGGUUACUAGUUGAAUUCGUCUCCACUGCGCCAACACGAGAACUCCAAUCUCAUUGUCUUUUCUCCCUUGAAGUUUCAAAAAAAAGAGAAGAAAAACUAAAAUCUUUGCUCUUUAUUUCUAAUUGUUAUUUGAUUUACAGCAGUUUCUAACCACACUAAUAAAUAUCUCUAAUUCUAGCCUUGUUAAAAGGCAAAUUAACAUUCUAUAAGCAAAAAGUUCUGUAUCCUAGAAAGAGGAAGGAACCCUAAAAUAUUUAUAAUAUUUUAAGAUGGUGGCAUUAAUUCUUCCCUACUGUGCGUCUUUGUCACUUUUUCCGAGAUACUGGUUCACGAGUGAGUGAGAAAAAACAUCAUUCAUCUAACGCUGAUAGAUAUUUACCUAAUAUGCCCAAAUGGAAGUCUUAUUAAACGACCUAUGAAUACAGUCAACUUGGUACUGAACAUAUCUUCUAAAUUCAAUUUUCAACCCCAGGAGUAGAAUUGAGACAGGUUUCACGAUGUCGUCUUCUGUUCUACACCAGUGUGGAGGGUGGUAGCUGACCCCAAGCCCCAGUGCUGUUCUUAGACAAAGAUAGAAUCAUGCAUCUUCAAGGAUCUGAAUCACCUGUCAUUUUCCUGACAAAUCACCAUGCUACGUCUUCUUAGACCUGGCCAGUGUGUACUAUUCCCAGCGGCCCCUUCUACCGCUGGGGCAGCUUUUUUCUGUGAAAGUUCUUCCUCAUGAUAGACAAAACUCCAGUUCUGGAGCUUCUGCAGAAGGCUAAUGUCUAAAUCUUUGCCUCUAGGUCAGAUCACUAACUCUUGCAACUUCUCCUCAUUUAUUGAUGUGGUAUCAAAUCCAGUCACCCUCUUGCUUCUCUUUUGAACAGUUGAACCCAACAAUACUUUCUAAUUUUAUUUCAGUCUACUCAGUGAAUUGUAGCAAACACUUUGGGUCAGACUAGGUAAAAAUACUUUCUUCAGGGUUUAAAGUAAAUGGAAUUGGAAUAAUCCAAAGGAAACUGAUAUUUGAUGUGGAAAUUUCCCCCAAAGACUCAGACUUAGGAUAGUGAAAGCUAGGUGAGGAUAGAUCUCCCAUGUGUGCAAAACAGUCCUCCGCUCUGUGCCCUUUCCUGGUUUUGAUGUUACUAAAAUCAGAGUCAAAAUAAGAAGUGAGCUAGUACAUAUGUCACCAAUUAGAUUCCCACUUCUUGGCAAGUGUUCACAAAGUCUCUUCAACCCUUUCCCUUUGUCCUUGCCUGCUCAAGAAUAAGACAUUUCUUGUGUAAGUUCUCAUACUGAAUAUGCAAAAGGAGGCCUGGGCCGAUGUUCCCAUUGUGGCUCAGUGAGUUAAGAACCUGACUAGUAUCCAAGAGGAUGCAGGUUUGAUCCCUGCCCUAGUUCAAUGGGUUAAGGAUCCAGCAUAGGUCACAAACUGCAGUAUAGGUUGCAGAUGUGGUUUAGAUCUGGCAUUGCUGUGGCUGUAGCAUAGGCCAGCAGUUGCAGCUUUGAUCUCCAAUUCAACCCCUAGCCCAGGAACUUCCAUAUGCCAUAGGUGUGGCCUUAAAGAAAAAAAAAGGAAAGAAAAAAAAGGAGUCCUGGGUAUUUUAUAGGUUCCACACCAAUGUCUCUGGCUGGUUGGUUUUGGAGAUUUGCUUUCAUUCUUCUGUGCUCAAUUGUUUGUACAUAGAGAGAUGUUGCACUUUAGAUCAAGUGAACAACUUCCCUACUUGAUCAAUUAAGAACUAUCCUCAGGAGUCCAUAUUUUCUUUAUACUUUUGUCUUUCUAACAUCUUUAUCCCUUACUCACCUCCUCAAUUUAAUAAUCACUGUAAGAGAGUCAGCUCCUAAGUAACUGUGAUGCAAGCCAACUGCAAUACAAUCAAAUUGGUUCUAUCUGCAUCCCUUAAGAAGGGAUACAGCAUCAGGAAAAAUAAUUCUUCCCAGUGGCGUCAGUAAGGUUUUAUGGAAGAAUGAAAUCUUUUGAGAAAUCUUGAUUUGAUUCAUUGGCUUGAAGUUGAGAGAAGAAUAUUUAGGGCAUGAGAAACAGCAGGGAAGCAUAGUUUAUACCCAGAGAAGAUCCUCUGCUUUAAGUAUCACAAAUUCUGGAAUGUCCUUAACAGGAGAAAAGGUUUCCAGAUAUUCAGGGUCAGUGAGAAGAGAAAGACACAGAGGAAAGUUCAUUUGAUUGAUGUUUGCUUUUUCAUCUCGAUAUAAUUGUGAAAUAGGAUAAGUUGUCAAAAUAUAAUCCAAUAUAUACAGUAUGAACAGGAAGCUUUAUGAUAACAUUCAAAAUGUACAUUUGCAUUGGCUCAUAGCUACAUACUCCACUUAUGCACUGAACACCCCCAUCUUCUGAGGCCUCACAAGACAAUGAGCAGAGCACCUCUAUUGGUCCACAGUUGGAAAGGAUUCCACAUUCCUCACUUCCUCUCACUGUUAAAAUUCUCUUUCAGAUUUAUUGCUAAGUGAUAAUCCAGACUCUGCUCAAACAUCACCUGCAUCAAGGAGCACAUUACUUCUUGAGCUUUUCCAUUUUCUCCAUCACACUUUGUUCCAAACUCCCAGAACCAGCCUUCGGGGCAUAGGUGCUUCCAGGUGCCACACAAAAUUAAUCUUUAGUACAUAAUAAAAUAUUGCUUCCUCCCUCCAUUUUCCUUUCAAAUAUAUUUUAGUUUUGGCAACGCAUUACUUUUUAAAAAAAUUUUUUUUUGAUUUUUAGCUAAAGAUUAUGAAAAACUUUAACAUUCUUAAAAAUAGUCUGAAGGGUUUUCUGAAGGUUAAGUUUUAGAGUUUAUGAGUUUGGGGGUGCUGUUUUUACUUUCUUAUAAAAGACAAACUUUUCUGAUAGUCAUUAUGUAACCUCAUGCCUUCCCCCAGUAAUUAACUCCUGAAACACUCUCCAGUUAUCCAGCUGCUGAUAAUGACCUUAAAAUGUUGGGAAAUGUCAGUGUGUGAUCUCCACUUCUUAACAAGGAAAACAUCAAAAGCAGAAGAUACUGGUUCUGUUGAAAUGCAUUACUUCUGGCCAGUUGUUCUGUGCAAAAGGAAGGUUACGUUCUGGUUUUAUGUAGAAAUGUAGAAAUUCUUUCCCUAUUGUCUUGAGUUACUGUUUAGUUUCAAUAGUAUUCCUUGGGCUUUGGGAGGACCAGGCUUGCAUCCUCUUCCACCUUGGCCUUGAAUUUGAGAGCCCUAUGGGCAGAACCUGUCAUCCUUCUCCUGGGCAGGACCUGGGGGUAGCUUUUCGAGCUCUAAAAUAGUAAUUCCUAAGAGAGCUUACAAACUGCUUUUGCACAUGAAACAGCCCGGGAGGAAGGUUAUUAAUAGCCCUAUCCUAGACAAGAAAGCUGAGGCUCAGAAUUGUUAAGUGACUUGCCAAAAGCAAUAGAGCUGGUAAGUGGCAGAUUUGGGGACAUACCCAGGUCUUGCAAGUCCAGUGCUCACUCUGGUGGCUGUUCCCAGGGCACAGAAUACCUCAGAGCACGUGGCAUGCAUCUCACAGACCACCAUGCCCCGUGUUAAGGGCAUCCAAGGAAAUUCACACGGAUCACUUAGCUAUCAGGUGGCAGAGCUGUAUGUGCACUGUGGUGCUUGUGACCAUUUAGAGCUUUCGUGCAUUUUCUGUGUCAUCUUGUGGGAAACUACUAGCUAUUUUAUCUGAUUGGCAGCGUGAUGGAGUGGGUGAGGAAAGGCCACCGCUUAGAACAAACACUGUGGCACUGAAGUACACUGCAGCAAAUUUCCCCUGGGACCGUGGUUUGCUUUACAUUAACUGAAAAACUCUCUGGAACUGUGAGGUUCAGAAUAUCAACCGAGACCAUGCCAUUUAGAAUUCAGUGGCAUGUGAGGGUGACUUGAUCCUUACAAGAAGCUGCUCUCCCGUGGGCUACAACUUAUGCCCCGCAGAGGCAGGAACUGCUGGAGGUAAACAAUGCAUAUUCUUCUCUCUGCUCACAUUUAUCGAGGCCCACAACUUUUGCCCUUUGAGGGCCUGGACUUUCCCAGCUGUUGUCGUUUUGUUUUUUGUGAGUGGUUAUCAUGGGGAGUUUGGUACUGUGCCGUUUCCAGCACACUUCCUGAGAAGCCUGCAUGCAUGUUCUAGAACCUGCUCUGCGUGGCAUUUCAACAACCAGGUCUUCUCUUCAGCUUCCUCCCUGGGGAACCCAUGCCUUUUAAUGUGUGCUCAGCUUUUCAUUUCCUCCCAUUUCUCAUUAUAGUUGUUGGCUUUAAGUUAAAAUCUAUUAACUGGUUGCAAAAUAUUCUUUCUUCAUCCAGUUCAAUCUACUGCAGGGAACCUUUAAAAUGGUCUUAUCUGAUAAGCUUUCUAGGCAUUUUCCCUCCCUAGAGUCUACCAUCCAUCAAGGCGGUCUCAUCAUCUGUCUGCUAAAUUCCCUUGGAUUGAUGAGGGCCAAGUUAAAUGGCAAAUGGCCCCUCACCCUUUUCCAGUCUUCACACCUGGGAAAUAACAUGUGCGGCCAGUGGGGCUAGCACAGUAGUAGCCUUGGCUGAGAAGGCAACAUUCAGACACUGGAAAGGUGCUUCAUGUUCCUGUAAGGUUUGAUGUUAUGAUUGAUGAAGUAGAAAAUGAUUCUUGUAGAAAAAAUGGCAUACCCCCACCACAGGCAUGGAUUAGCAGGAGCAUUGAGAAAACUUUUCCGAAUGAUCUAGGUGAAUACGCCUGAGCAGAGAUUCACGUGGGUGGAACCUGUGAUAUCUUAUUAGAGGGAAUAAGAGGUAUCAAUAUGAAAAAGCAGCCCUUUAAAAAAAUUAAGGGAGCCACAGACUCUCGUUUAUCUUUACAAAAUGUAAAGGAAAUUUUGAAUACCUUUUUUCUUUCUCCAUUCUACAAAAUAUUGCCCCCUAUACUUAAGGAAAAUACAAUAGUGCUGUCUUCAAAAUACACAUCUGUGCUUGUGCAUGCACAUAUGCAUGCGCGUGCGUGCACGCACACACACACACACACACACACACACACACACACCUUCCAAGAAAGCUGAUCUUUCAAAAAGGAAAUUUUAUUUUAAAACACUUGGAUUUUUCAGGCCAAGAAACUAAUAAUUCCUAGACCUGACCCAUUUUUUGUGACUGCCAAAAAAGAAAAGGAAAAAA